Molecule: ribosomal RNA, 223 nt
Filed under: uncultured bacterium
Lineage: Bacteria
Description: partial 16S ribosomal RNA
Rfam family: Bacterial small subunit ribosomal RNA
Source: RNAcentral
UACGUAGGGCGCAAGCGUUGUCCGGAAUUAUUGGGCGUAAAGAGCUCGUAGGCGGUUUGUCGCGUCUGCUGUGAAAACCUAAGGCUCAACCUUGGGCUUGCAGUGGGUACGGGCAGACUAGAGUGCGGUAGGGGGUGACUGGAAUUCCUGGUGUAGCGGUGGAAUGCGCAGAUAUCAGGAGGAACACCGAUGGCGAAGGCAGGUCACUGGGCCGCAACUGACG